This is a long non-coding RNA of Sebastes umbrosus (honeycomb rockfish), 985 nucleotides long. RefSeq lists it as uncharacterized. The record is from RefSeq and is a predicted model, not a curated record. NCBI's taxonomy places the organism in Eukaryota, Metazoa, Chordata, Actinopteri, Perciformes, Sebastidae. The transcript has 3 exons.
GAUCAUUUCCGUUUUCUUACAGGGUACAAGUGUGAGUCUAAGCAAGCCUUGUAUUUUCACUGUUGUUACAUUUUAGUCUUUAAAGCCACGGCACCACACUUCAAAUCCAUUCAUUACAUGGACUCUCUGAUUUUUUUGCGUAUUUUACUUCUGCGUGUAUCACACUUAACAUGAUGCCCUCACAUAGUUGAUGGUUUCUCGUUAUCUGUGCCUUGAAGUUCCGGAGCCUUUUACCCACAUGACACUAAUCUUAGACGAGUCAUCAGGAGAUGACAUGCGAGAAACAUCUACAGAUCUACAGAUCUGAGCACUUCCCGCUACUUUAUAUAAAGUAGUGGUCAGAACAUCAGGACAUGCAGAGCUCUUCUCAACUUCCAACUUUGAGUGCUACAGUCAGAGCUCCGAGGAUGUUCUCGCAGAGAGGCUGAAAUGAGCUGAACUUCUAUCAGAUUUGAUCCUCUCACGUCCAUCCCUCUGUCUCACCAGCAGCAAGAAACAACAAUGGCGCUACUCAGCGUGAAGACGUAUCUGGCUCUGCUGUGGGGAAUAUCUCUUUUGUUUGCUGUGGAGUCCAUGAGUGCUUCCGUCUCAACUGCUGAACCUCGCAAACCUGCAGAGAUUAGUGUCGCAGCGCCGGCGGAGACCACUGUGUCACCCGCAGUUGAAACGGCAAAGGCGGUCGUCACUCACGGAAGCGAUGGCACUUCUGAUUUGAUUCCCGUGAAAACUGUAGCAGCAACUACAAGCAGCACAGAUCCUUCCCGCAGCACGACAAAAGCCGCAGAGGAUCAGAUACACCAACAACCAACCACCGCUUCUACUGGCGCGGCUGCUCCCGCAACAGCUUCUGCAGCAACAGUGGCCGUGUCUUCGCCGAAGCCUACAUCCACCGCUAAGCCUGAAGUUACAUCCCGGUUAUCUUCCACCACCUCUCCUGCUAAUUCUACUCCUCCGGCUCCAGUCGUCAUGCCGACCCCCAGCAGUC